Molecule: ribosomal RNA, 2925 nt
Filed under: Escherichia coli
Lineage: Bacteria; Pseudomonadati; Pseudomonadota; Gammaproteobacteria; Enterobacterales; Enterobacteriaceae
Description: partial 23S ribosomal RNA
Rfam family: Bacterial large subunit ribosomal RNA
Source: RNAcentral
GGGUUGUGAGGUUAAGCGACUAAGCGUACACGGUGGAUGCCCUGGCAGUCAGAGGCGAUGAAGGACGUGCUAAUCUGCGAUAAGCGUCGGUAAGGUGAUAUGAACCGUUAUAACCGGCGAUUUCCGAAUGGGGAAACCCAGUGUGAUUCGUCACACUAUCAUUAACUGAAUCCAUAGGUUAAUGAGGCGAACCGGGGGAACUGAAACAUCUAAGUACCCCGAGGAAAAGAAAUCAACCGAGAUUCCCCCAGUAGCGGCGAGCGAACGGGGAGCAGCCCAGAGCCUGAAUCAGUGUGUGUGUUAGUGGAAGCGUCUGGAAAGGCGCGCGAUACAGGGUGACAGCCCCGUACACAAAAAUGCACAUACUGUGAGCUCGAUGAGUAGGGCGGGACACGUGGUAUCCUGUCUGAAUAUGGGGGGACCAUCCUCCAAGGCUAAAUACUCCUGACUGACCGAUAGUGAACCAGUACCGUGAGGGAAAGGCGAAAAGAACCCCGGCGAGGGGAGUGAAAAAGAACCUGAAACCGUGUACGUACAAGCAGUGGGAGCACGCUUAGGCGUGUGACUGCGUACCUUUUGUAUAAUGGGUCAGCGACUUAUAUUCUGUAGCAAGGUUAACCGAAUAGGGGAGCCGAAGGGAAACCGAGUCUUAACUGGGCGUUAAGUUGCAGGGUAUAGACCCGAAACCCGGUGAUCUAGCCAUGGGCAGGUUGAAGGUUGGGUAACACUAACUGGAGGACCGAACCGACUAAUGUUGAAAAAUUAGCGGAUGACUUGUGGCUGGGGGUGAAAGGCCAAUCAAACCGGGAGAUAGCUGGUUCUCCCCGAAAGCUAUUUAGGUAGCGCCUCGUGAAUUCAUCUCCGGGGGUAGAGCACUGUUUCGGCAAGGGGGUCAUCCCGACUUACCAACCCGAUGCAAACUGCGAAUACCGGAGAAUGUUAUCACGGGAGACACACGGCGGGUGCUAACGUCCGUCGUGAAGAGGGAAACAACCCAGACCGCCAGCUAAGGUCCCAAAGUCAUGGUUAAGUGGGAAACGAUGUGGGAAGGCCCAGACAGCCAGGAUGUUGGCUUAGAAGCAGCCAUCAUUUAAAGAAAGCGUAAUAGCUCACUGGUCGAGUCGGCCUGCGCGGAAGAUGUAACGGGGCUAAACCAUGCACCGAAGCUGCGGCAGCGACGCUUAUGCGUUGUUGGGUAGGGGAGCGUUCUGUAAGCCUGUGAAGGUGUGCUGUGAGGCAUGCUGGAGGUAUCAGAAGUGCGAAUGCUGACAUAAGUAACGAUAAAGCGGGUGAAAAGCCCGCUCGCCGGAAGACCAAGGGUUCCUGUCCAACGUUAAUCGGGGCAGGGUGAGUCGACCCCUAAGGCGAGGCCGAAAGGCGUAGUCGAUGGGAAACAGGUUAAUAUUCCUGUACUUGGUGUUACUGCGAAGGGGGGACGGAGAAGGCUAUGUUGGCCGGGCGACGGUUGUCCCGGUUUAAGCGUGUAGGCUGGUUUUCCAGGCAAAUCCGGAAAAUCAAGGCUGAGGCGUGAUGACGAGGCACUACGGUGCUGAAGCAACAAAUGCCCUGCUUCCAGGAAAAGCCUCUAAGCAUCAGGUAACAUCAAAUCGUACCCCAAACCGACACAGGUGGUCAGGUAGAGAAUACCAAGGCGCUUGAGAGAACUCGGGUGAAGGAACUAGGCAAAAUGGUGCCGUAACUUCGGGAGAAGGCACGCUGAUAUGUAGGUGAAGUCCCUCGCGGAUGGAGCUGAAAUCAGUCGAAGAUACCAGCUGGCUGCAACUGUUUAUUAAAAACACAGCACUGUGCAAACACGAAAGUGGACGUAUACGGUGUGACGCCUGCCCGGUGCCGGAAGGUUAAUUGAUGGGGUCAGCGCAAGCGAAGCUCUUGAUCGAAGCCCCGGUAAACGGCGGCCGUAACUAUAACGGUCCUAAGGUAGCGAAAUUCCUUGUCGGGUAAGUUCCGACCUGCACGAAUGGCGUAAUGAUGGCCAGGCUGUCUCCACCCGAGACUCAGUGAAAUUGAACUCGCUGUGAAGAUGCAGUGUACCCGCGGCAAGACGGAAAGACCCCGUGAACCUUUACUAUAGCUUGACACUGAACAUUGAGCCUUGAUGUGUAGGAUAGGUGGGAGGCUUAGAAGUGUGGACGCCAGUCUGCAUGGAGCCGACCUUGAAAUACCACCCUUUAAUGUUUGAUGUUCUAACGUUGACCCGUAAUCCGGGUUGCGGACAGUGUCUGGUGGGUAGUUUGACUGGGGCGGUCUCCUCCUAAAGAGUAACGGAGGAGCACGAAGGUUGGCUAAUCCUGGUCGGACAUCAGGAGGUUAGUGCAAUGGCAUAAGCCAGCUUGACUGCGAGCGUGACGGCGCGAGCAGGUGCGAAAGCAGGUCAUAGUGAUCCGGUGGUUCUGAAUGGAAGGGCCAUCGCUCAACGGAUAAAAGGUACUCCGGGGAUAACAGGCUGAUACCGCCCAAGAGUUCAUAUCGACGGCGGUGUUUGGCACCUCGAUGUCGGCUCAUCACAUCCUGGGGCUGAAGUAGGUCCCAAGGGUAUGGCUGUUCGCCAUUUAAAGUGGUACGCGAGCUGGGUUUAGAACGUCGUGAGACAGUUCGGUCCCUAUCUGCCGUGGGCGCUGGAGAACUGAGGGGGGCUGCUCCUAGUACGAGAGGACCGGAGUGGACGCAUCACUGGUGUUCGGGUUGUCAUGCCAAUGGCACUGCCCGGUAGCUAAAUGCGGAAGAGAUAAGUGCUGAAAGCAUCUAAGCACGAAACUUGCCCCGAGAUGAGUUCUCCCUGACUCCUUGAGAGUCCUGAAGGAACGUUGAAGACGACGACGUUGAUAGGCCGGGUGUGUAAGCGCAGCGAUGCGUUGAGCUAACCGGUACUAAUGAACCGUGAGGCUUAACCUUACAACGCCGAAG